This 468-nucleotide ribosomal RNA is filed under the name uncultured bacterium. RNAcentral describes it as "partial 16S ribosomal RNA". It matches the Rfam family "Bacterial small subunit ribosomal RNA", at positions 28 to 507 of the family's 1533-position model. The record is from RNAcentral.
GACGAACGCUGGCGGCGUGCUUAACACAUGCAAGUCGAACGGAAAGGCCCUGCUUUUGUUGGUUGCUCGAUUGGCGAACGGGUGAGUAACACGUGAGUAACCUGCCCUUGACUUUGGGAUAACUUCAGGAAACUGCGGCUAAUACCGGAUAGGAUCUCCUGCUGCAUGGUGGGGGUUGGUAAGUUUCGGCGGUUGUGGAUGGACUCGCUGCUUAUCAGCUUGUUGGUGGGGUAGUGGCUUACCAAGGCUUUGACGGGUAGCCGGCCUGGGAGGGGCACCGGCCACAUUGGGACUGAGAUACGGAGCAGAAUCGUACGGGAGGCAGCAGGGGGGAAUAUUACACAAUGGGCGGAAGCCUGAUGCAGCAACGCCGCGUGCGGGAUGACGGGCUUCGGGUUGUAAACCACUUUCGCCUGUGACAAAGAGGGAGUGACGGUAAUGGGUAAAGAAGCACCGGCUAACUACGUG